RNAcentral lists this transfer RNA (85 nucleotides) under Rhipicephalus microplus (southern cattle tick). RNAcentral describes it as "tRNA-Ser". It matches the Rfam family "tRNA". Rfam says of the family: Transfer RNA (tRNA) molecules are approximately 80 nucleotides in length. Lineage: Eukaryota; Metazoa; Arthropoda; Arachnida; Ixodida; Ixodidae. The record is from RNAcentral.
GCCGUUGUCUUGGCCAAGUGGUUAAGGCGAUGGUCUUGAAAACCAUUGGGUUCUUCCCGCGCAGGUUCGAACCCUGCCGACUGCG